This is a non-coding RNA of Bemisia tabaci, 4117 nucleotides long. Lineage: Eukaryota; Metazoa; Arthropoda; Insecta; Hemiptera; Aleyrodidae. The record is from RefSeq and is a predicted model, not a curated record.
ACGCAUCAGUCGCGCGAGCACAGGAGCGGAAGCCCCGUGGUUUUUAUUCCACCGUUGUCCAUUACAUGUCCGAGCCUCGGCUUUAUUUAUCUUUUCUUCGUCGAUGACGUCAUCGUCAUCCGAUGACCAUGAAUGCGCGUCCGUGAACCGCUUCACACGAUUUGUUCGCCAAUUAUUGUGUUUGCUGUGUAGUGAUGUGCGCCGGCACCGGCUGAGGAUUGUUCCAGGAUGACGACGGACCCCCCGUCCCCGCUGACGGAGCUCAAACCUACGGACCCCGCCGACGGACCCCCGGAAACUCAUGUCCCCAACUCGAGUGGCAAGCCGACGAUGGAUGGGGACUGCCCAGGAGAUCAUACCAGUGAUCAAGAAAAAAAUCAAUCGAACCGCAAUGUCUCGACGGAAACAACAACGCUACAGACUAGAUCUGCGUAUAUGAAAGAUGCUCAAGUGAUCAUACCAGAAACAGAGGAUGCUGCAUUCAGUUUCCGCAAGCUAUGGGCUUUCACAGGUCCAGGUUUCUUGAUGAGCAUAGCCUACCUUGAUCCUGGAAAUAUACAAUCUGAUCUACAAUCAGGGACUGUCGCAAAAUAUAAAUUAUUAUGGGUCCUCUUAAGUGCAACAUGCCUAGGUUUAAUCAUGCAGCGAUUUGCUGCCAGACUGGGUGUUGUCACUGGUCUACAUUUGGCAGAAAUGUGCUAUCGUCAAUAUCGCACUGCGCCACGACUAUUUCUCUGGCUCAUGAUGGAGGUAGCCAUCAUUGGAUCUGACAUGCAAGAAGUAAUCGGCACAGCUAUAGCUAUAUAUCUCCUUACUAAUAAAUUUGUUCCACUAUGGAUGGGCGUUUUGAUAACGGUAGUCGAUACUUUCACCUUUCUGUUACUCGAUAAGUAUGGCUUAAGAAAACUGGAACUUGUGUUCGGUUUCUUGAUCAUUGUGAUGGCUCUUUCUUUUGGAUAUGAGUUUGGAGUGGUCAAACCAGAAGUAGCCUCCAUCAUGGGUGGAAUGUUCACACCAUGGUGUAAAGAUUGUGACAGCACAGUGCUGGUGCAAGCAGUCGGUAUUAUUGGUGCUGUUAUAAUGCCGCAUAAUCUAUAUUUACACUCAGGACUUGUAAAGUCGAGAGAAGUUGAUCGCUCUAAGCAAGAAAAAGUUCGUGAAGCAAACCUUUACUUCUUUGUCGAAGCUAGUAUAGCUCUAUUUGUCUCAUUUAUUAUCAAUGUUUUUGUUGUGUCUGUGUUUGCACAUGGAUUGUAUAGAAAAACAAAUGAAGAUGUUAUGAAUGUGUGCCGUGCUAAUAAUAACCCAGACUGGAUUCUUUUUCCGAAUAACACGGAGCCUGCUGAUGUAAAUAUUUAUCGAGGAGGUAUAUUUUUGGGAUGCCAGUUUGGAAUUCCUGCAAUGUAUAUCUGGGCGCUAGGUAUUCUAGCCGCUGGUCAAAGUAGUACCAUGACGGGAUGUUAUGCUGGUCAAUUCGCCAUGGAAGGUUUUUUGAAUCUUCAGUGGAGCAGGUGGAAGCGAGUGGUUUUCACACGAUUGAUCGCAAUCCUUCCCACAUUUUUAGUCGCAUAUUAUAGUAAGAUUAACGAAUUAAGUGAUAUGAAUGACCUUCUGAAUGCCGUCAUGAGCAUGCAGCUUCCGUUUGCUGUGAUACCAACUAUUGCCUUCACUAGUAAUCCACAUAUAAUGGGAUCGUUCACCAACGGAGUUGGAAGUAAAGUUGUGGCCUGUAUAAUAUCUGCACUCAUCAUAGCAAUUAACAUAUACUUUAUCUCAUUUGUGAUGAUUAAAUAUUUGCUAAGUCACUGGUCAUUAACAGUAUUCAUCAUUGCGUACCUGACCGUCUACAUUUUAACGUGUAUCUACCUUAUUUUACACAUGUUCAUAAGCAUGGGUGUUGAUAAUAGAUUCUCAAAUAGUAAAUUUGUUCAGAGUUUAAUUGGGACGCAAAUCACGCAUGACUUUGUACAUAAUCCGGAUGCAGCUUCUUCGAACAGGUAUUCUUCUGUCCAUUGAUUAUAAUGAAGAGGACUCUGUUAGAUCUCAGUGAAGCCUCACUCUAGUGCACCUCAGUGUUUUAAGACGCCCUUGUUCCUUACUAAUGUGGAACAGAAACAUGGGAACCAUGUCCUCUCCAACUCAUCAACUCUCCGACUAUUCAAAGUAAACUUCAUAAUGAUGGAAUGUUUGGAAUUUUUAUUCGUACUACCACUCCGGACCACUGAUCAUCCCAGCAGCGAAAUUUCACUAGUAUGAUGUAUGUACAAAUCAAUACCUAUGACAUUGUAAAUAUUUAGGCACUUUUAAAAAAUCAUCGAUUUUGUAAACGAAUAAUUGAUUUCUUCUGCAAGGACCCAUGUUUAUUCUGUAAAGUGUUAUAUGUAUGAAGUAUGUUUUUUGUUAAAAAUUCUCAAUACAUAAGGAACAAAGUUCUAUCCUCAGAGAUACCAUGUUAGAUUUUAGACUUAAAUUUUCAAAAGACAAUGCAGUGGUAAGGAACUCUCUCAGAAAUUUAUAAUUUAGUUCAUUUCUUGAGUUUUUUAAGUCAGAAUAACCAAAAUAUGCAGAAAAAGAAGACAUAAUGAUUAGGUAAUAAUUAGAGUAAGAGAAUAUGAGUAUAUCCAUCAUUGAGAAAUUAAACUUUUAUUUUUACUCAGUCCCAUUCCUCCUUCUUUGCCUUUUAAUUAACUUCAACGCCUCUAUGGAUUGGAACCGACUCAUAUUCAGCAAUCAUUUUUGAGCUUUUCUUUACAACAUUAUUUAAGAAUAAAAGGGAAAUAAUAAAUUGAUCAAUUUUUUUGCUGGCUUAACAAUUCAUAGAUUAAAAAUAUUUAGAUUUGAUGGCAUUUUGCUGGAAACGUGAAAGAAAUUUAAAAAUCUUUUUUUACUGUCAAGCAUGUAAUCGAAUGUAAUCCUUAAAUCAUAAAUUUAUUUGAUUAUCCUUUCUCUCUGAAGGUCCCCAUAAACCUUUGCUCUCAAACCAAGUGGGCUUCCUGAAAGGGAGCUGUUUGAGGAUGAACUAUAAUACGAGCCUCCAGAUUUUUGAGAUAACAUUUGUUCAAACUGAUAUAACUAUCCAUUCUUCAGAAGUAGCGUCUUCUUUUCUUGGAAUCAGUAAUUUUCUUAGACCUACUUAAUUUCUUAAAUUGACUAUUCAUCUUUUUAUUUUUGAGUUUGAUUGCUCUAAUUUACUUUAGGAUGACUGCAUUGUUUGAGUUGAGGUAAUGACUCAUGAUCUUUCUGGAGAUUUAAUUUUUACACUUUGUUUUUCUUUCUCUCCUUUUGCUUUCUUCGAGAAUCAUCACACUCCAUACCACUUUUAUUGGCAAGAAAGCGAAAAUCAUUCAGUUUCCGUCCAGCUUUUCACUUAUUGCAGCUGUGCAUUGUCGUGUUAGCGUUGCAACUAUGAAAUGGAAGUUAAAAGCAUAGCCUGUUUUCUCUUGUUUUCUUUUUUCUAAUUUAAGUAAAGCUAUGAGUGAGGAAUUUGUCAAAGACUUAUGUAUAUUCAUUCUAAAGCAUGCACACUGAAGUCCACGCCACAAGAAGUGGCAGGUGGGGGGCAUAGUCAAUUCAGUAGCUCGGUGUUAGGUCUAAAGGUUAAUUGGCUUCAGCGAGCGGGGGUCCUUCAAACAAACCAAAGUACCUGUUUUUCAGUUCUUGAAAAUACUCUGAGGCAGUCCCUUAUUCCGCCUCUCAUCUAUCGCUUUUUGGGGGGUGAACUAUAGCCAGUGCUUCCAUUUCUCUUUCUUUUAUUGUUUAUUUUCAUUUUAUUUUUGUUUAUUUUUCCAAGGCAUAAACACUUUGUUGUGUUUUUGUUUUUUCUUUUGAAUUAUGAAUGUUUGCCCUGACAAUUUUACCCAAACUAAAGUUUGAUUAAAAUAAACUUGUCUGCAAUUGUGAUAAAAAAUAAUUUGAGACUCCUGCAUUAAGAGGCUAUAUUAAUGUUAGUAUACAUUUAUUUUUUUCUAUCUCUUGUUGUUUCCAUUGUUGCAAAUUAGUUUUUAAUAUGUUUAAAAUUGAAAGGCGUAGGUGUUUUAUACCUCACAGCAGAUGUAUUUUUUAAGAAAUGUUAAACUGAAAUUUCUCAAAAUAAAGCUGUAAAUAACUUGUUUACUUA